GCUUGUGUGUGCCGGAGCGCAUUUAUAAUCCUUCUAGAAAACGAUUCUGCCAUUAACUUGGUGGGGUCGCGAUCUAGAACAUUUACUUUGAAAAAAUUAGAGUGUUUAAAGCAGGCGGAAAGUCAUAAAUACAUUAGCAUGGAAUAAUAAUCUAGGACUUCGGUUCUAUUUUGUUGGUUUCUAUAACUGAAGUAAUGAUUGAUAGGGACAGUUGGGGGUGCUAGUAUUGGCCGGCCAGAGGUGAAAUUCUUGGAUUCGGUCAAGACUAACUUAUGCGAAAGCAUUCACCAAGGAUGUCUUCUUUAAUCAAGAACGAAAGUUGGGGGAUCGAAGACGAUCAGAUACCGUCGUAGUCUCAGCCAUAAACUAUACCGACUAAGGAUCAGUGAACGUUGAUUUACGACUUCAUUGGCACUUUGUGAGAAAUCAAAGUCUUUGGGUUCCGGGGGGAGUAUGGUCGCAAGGCUGAAACUUAAAAGAAUUGACGGAAGAACACACCAGAAGUGGAGUUUGCGGCUUAAUUCGACUCAACACGGGAAAACUCACCAAGACAGGAUAGCGAGCAGGAUUGACAGGUUAAAGUCCUUUCAUGAUUUCUUAUAUGGUGGUGCAUGGCCGUUCUUAGUUGGUGGAGUGAUUUGUCUGGUUAAUUCCGUUAACGAACGAGACCUUAGCCUACUAACUAGUCGGACAGAUCUCCGAUAUGUCACGACUUCUUAGAGGGACUUUGUG
This 732-nucleotide ribosomal RNA is filed under the name uncultured eukaryote. Its description in RNAcentral is "bacterial SSU rRNA". It matches the Rfam family "Eukaryotic small subunit ribosomal RNA", at positions 670 to 1426 of the family's 1831-position model. The record is from RNAcentral.